This 490-nucleotide ribosomal RNA is filed under the name uncultured bacterium. RNAcentral's name for it is "partial 16S ribosomal RNA". It matches the Rfam family "Bacterial small subunit ribosomal RNA", at positions 29 to 507 of the family's 1533-position model. The record is from RNAcentral.
AAUGAACGCUGGCGGCAUGCCUUACACAUGCAAGUCGAACGGCAGCAUGACCUAGCUUGCUAGGUUGAUGGCGAGUGGCGAACGGGUGAGUAAUGCAUCGGAACGUGCCUUUUAGUGGGGGAUAACGUAGCGAAAGUUACGCUAAUACCGCAUAUUCUCUGAGGAGGAAAGCAGGGGACCUUCGGGCCUUGCGCUAGAAGAGCGGCCGAUGUCGGAUUGGCUAGUUGGUGAGGUAAAGGCUCACCAAGGCAACGAUCCGUAGCGGGUCUGAGAGGAUGAUCCGCCACACUGGAACUGAGACACGGCCCAGACUCCUACGGGAGGCAGCAGUGGGGAAUUUUGGACAAUGGGCGCAAGCCUGAUCCAGCCAUGCCGCGUGAGUGAAGAAGGCCUUCGGGUUGUAAAGCUCUUUCGGCUGGGAAGAAAUCGCACCCUCUAAUACAGGGUGUGGAUGACGGUACCAGCAUAAGAAGCACCGGCUAACUACGUG